GGCAUGCUGGCCGUCACGUGAGAGUGACGUAACCAUUUGCACAGUACGGAAGCUUUAAUUAUACAACUUCAAAGUUAAUACACCCGAAGGUGCGUCCUAAUUUGGUCCAUUCUGUCAGAACCCCGCUGAAUUCCUCGUAGUCACCACACCUCUGCAAUUCUUUAACCUGGAGGGGCGCAAAACCAAAAUUGAGUGGGUCAGUAAAACAAAUCUUUUCAAAUCCAACUUUUCUCAAAACAUUGUAACCCCUCUCCGUAAAACUUGUAUACUUUCCCAGAAAUGUAAAAUAUAAAUAUACAUAUAUAAUCUCAAAACUUCAAUUCACUUUUUCAACAUUUUUUCAUAUCAGUUAUGCCAUGCCAUGUCUAAAUUCAACAGUUAAGUAUGAAUGCAUCAACAAUAAUCAUAUCAGGUGCAAGAAAGAAAUCAACCGGAGGCCCUCUAAUGGCCCUGUACGGUUAAACCUAGAGCUCAAAAUCUAUCACUCUCACUCUGCCGGAGUCACCUCUGUGACCUGUCCGGCCUUCUGCACAUAAGUCGGAACCACCUAAUGUAGUAUGUACGACUCAAUGGUUAAUAUUACGCUCUAGUGCUUUUCUCAUCAAUCAUCUGUGCACAUAAUCUAAGGUCACCCACCAGUCGGAACCUCUCUAAAUCUCUAUACGACUGGCCUGUCGCACCCACUCCGCGUGGUAUGUACGACUAGCAUCUACUUGGAUCCAAGGCGAGCGUGCGAUGCGGUGAAUACUAUAAGCACUAAACCAUGGUGCAGGAUAUGAGCUCAAUAUAUAUCAUCAUCAUCAUAACAGUAAUUAAAUACUCACCUGUGCGUCCACCGCACCAAUUCAUACAUAUGCAUCAUAUAUCAAUUCAUACUUUUCAUAUAAUUUCAUGCAUGGCAAUUCGAUUCACAUUUCAAUGUACUUUUCAUAUACUUUCAUGCAUGGCAUUUCAAAUCAUACUUUCAUUAAAUUUCAAUUUCUGGGAAAACGUCAAGUAUAUAUAUAUAUAUAUAUAUAUAUAUAUAUAUAUAUAUAUAAGUAUGUGGGAAUUCAAAGAACUUGAUUAAUAUCAAUAUAAAAUUUUUAGGAUUAAUAACAAGAGCAUAUAUAAACAAAACUAAAUUUAAUAGAUUUAAUGUUCAUGAUUAAAAUAAUGAUGCUGAUAUUCGAUUGAAAAUAUAUUUAUUGAAAUUUAAACAAGACUUACAGAAGUUUCGUCUAUUGACGAUUUUGAAAAUUUAAAAGCUGAUCUUGGAGCUCGCAGGCAUCCUUUAAAAUAAAAUAUAUCUAUUACAAUAUUUUUGCUGAGAAGCUGUAAACUCUGUUUAAUAUGAAUACGCAGAGUUUUCCUUGAGAAAAAUCCUCCUCCUUCAGAAGGCUCGAGAGUCCCUUUUAUAGACAGAGGAGCUGAUCCUGAAUGAUUGAGGGAUGGAAGCGGGAUUCCCGCUCUGCAUGUGCUACUGCUGUAAAGAGGCCGAAAGCAGAAGAUGCUGUCGGUGACUGUGGCUUUCACGAGAGUGAAUACUGUGGAGAAAAUGAUGGAUGAAUAGUAAAAGUGAUUUUACUAUUCAUGAAUAGUGCCAUGUCUGCUACUGCUGUUUUCACUUGCGGCUAGCUUUGUCUUCAGGUGCAGUUAUUACAGAAUACUCUACAGAGUCUAAAUACAAUGUAUGCUACUGAGAUACAAAUUUAGAAAUUCCUAUACAUGCUAUUAAAAGUUUAAAAUUCGUAUGGGUCUUGAGAAUCAGGUGGGAAGAUAUUUCCCUGUGAAGCUACUGCUUGUUGUGAUGAAGCAUCCGAAGAGUUGUCGGAGUCCGAACUGUCUUCAUUCUCUUCUUGCAGUUCCUUCAUGAGAAUUUUGGCUAGAGCCUUGAGCUUUGAUGAUUUCUUUUUCUUCGAACUGCUCGAAGAUUUGGAUGAUUUGGUUUGGCCCUUGAGAGAGGAAGAAGGACUAAUAUCCGAUAAUGAAUCGAUUUCUUCCUUAGUGGGUUCAAGUAGGGCUGUUGCUGGAGGAGCUGCUACUGCAGGUACUGGAUCAGAACCCAUAGGGAAGUCCUUGAGCACAACUUCAAUGAUCUUCUGGUAGUUGAACUUAUCCCACCAUUUGAUCAUUCUCUGUCGGAAGACUUGGUUGGAUUCAAUCUCGUAAUUCCAGCGGAGAAUCCAGGGGAUCUUGUAUUUUGCCAUGAACAGGGCGAACAAAGGGAUUCCUUCAUCGAACCGCGUUCUAUCGAACUUCUUCUGGAAGGUGCCUGAUAAGACUUUCUUGAAUUCGUCUGGCAUGAGAUCAGAGAUGAGGCCAUGUUCUGCCCACCAUCUGGGAAACCAUGCAGGAAAAUUCAAUCUGAAACUUCGAUCAAAGGUUAUAAACCAUGAAUGACUAAAAUCUUCGGAUUGGUGAAGGAAGAUGUUAGUCCAAGCUUGAAUGUAAUCAAAAUAGGUAUAAUGGUUUGAGUGACUGGGAAAGCUACUGCUUUUAAAAGGUUUAGGCUGAAAAAGAGGCACUUGCCAUUCUGACUCUAAUAAGAAUUUAUUGAUGGUAAGGGAAUGAUACAGGAUUCUGUUUUGAUUGCCAGAAGUUUUAUCAAAGAUGGGUUUUAUGGUGAUGGAGGAAGUCUCAUUGAGAAUAGUAGUAUAAUACUUGAGGGUUUUGUGAAAUUCACUCGGCUGAAAAUGGGAAUUGGUUGGAAACAUCUUUUUGGCUAUUACCUCAGGAGUUUUCAGAUGUUUGAAAUUAAAUGGGAUACUGAAGAGAUACUCUUUGGAGGGUUUAAUAAUGUAGGGAGAUGUUUUAGUAUAACUUACUGAGGGAGAUGGCGAUUGCCUGUAAGUAGAGGAGAAAGGAUCAUACUGGUUUACUAACGCUGUUUGGUAAUUUGGUCGGAUGCUUCCUAGAGUUGAUCCUAAUGGAGUAAAUCUAUUGGUAAUGGCUAAGGCCGAGGAACCGGGAAUAGGUUCCUGUUUUAGUGGUGGUAGUGAGGCGGGAAGCCUCCUUUGUUGGCUACUGCCUUGUGGAGAAGUUGUGUUCUUAUUAGACAUUCUUCCCCUGCAAAAAUUCUCUGGUUAGGAAAUCUGGAAUGCAGUUAUGGCUGCCUUUAAUGUAUUCAAUUUCAAAAUCAAAGAUUGAUAAUAUGGCUUGCCAUCGUGCAAAAAUCUGUUUUGAUGCAAUAUUUUGAACAUCCUUUUGUAAAACAUGUUUUGCAGAUUUGCAAUCAACUCUAACGAGAAAUUUUUGAUUUAAUAGAUCAUCUUGAAAUUUACUAAUGCAUAAAACUAUAGAUAGUAUUUCUUUUUUAAUAGUACUAUAAUUAGUUUGAGCAGGAUUCCAUACACCUGAAUGAAAACGAACAAUUUGUUCAGGUGAUCCGGAGGAAGUUUGCUGUUUGAGGAUACCUCCAUAACCAACGUCAGAGGCAUCAGUUUCAACAAUCUUAAAAGAGUUGGGAGUUGGAAUGCCAAGACAGGGCAAAGUCUUAACAUAAUUUUUGAUUUGUUUGACAAUAGAAGUAUGAAUGGUAGACCAGGCAGGAGGAUUCUCCUUAAGGCGAUCAAACAAAGGUUUACAUUGUUGACGCAAAUGAGGAUAAAAUUCUGAAACAUAAUUCAAAGAACCUAAGAAUCUUUGAAGUUGGGUUUUGUCAGUAAUCUGGUCUGGAAAUUUAUCUGCAAACUGGAUGACACGGUCAAUAGGUUGGAUGGUAGACCUAUGAAUAUUAUAACCUAAAAAUCUAAUCUUAAGUUGAAACAACUUAAUCUUAGUGGCUGACACGACCAAUCCAUUUGACCUAAUGAUCCUAGCAAACAAGUGUAAAUGUUUCCAAUGUUCAUCUAUAGAUUUAGAGAAAACAAGAACAUCAUCAAUAUAAACAAUUGUAAAAUGACUAUACUGAUUAAAAAUCUCAUUCAUAAUAUUCUGGAAUUCAGAUGGUGCAUUUUUCAAACCAAAAGGCAUAACAUUCCAUUCAUAAUGGCCGAAAGGCGUUACAAAAGCAGUUUUAUAUUUGUCAGAUUCAUGAAUUUGGAUUUGCCAAAAUCCUGAUUUCAUAUCAAACUUUGAGAAAAUAGUUGCUUUACUAAGCCUUUUUAUUAAAUCUCUUUUGUUGGGAAUUGGAUAUCUAAUCCAUUCCAAAACUUCAUUUAAAGGUUUGUAGUUAAUAACUAAUCGGGGAGAACCCCUCUCAAGUUCUGCACUUUUCUGAACAUAAAAUGCAGGACACGACCAAGGUGAUUUACUUUUCCGGAUAAUUCCUUUAUUAAGAAGGUCUUGUAUUUCUGUUUUACAGAAAUCCAUUACUUCUUGGCUCAUUUGGAUGGGUCUGGCCUUAGUAGGGAUUUUUGACUCAUUAAAUUCCUUGAUAUAAGGUAAUUUAACGAUAUGUUGUUUGCGGUGCCAAAAGGCAUUGGGAAUAUCAGAACAUACAUCUUUAACAAGUUGUUCUUCAAAUUUAAGGAUUUUUUGAGAUAUAAUCUCUUGUUUGAGUUGUUCUUCAGUUCUUUUGUGAUGAAUAUCAUCUUUCAAGAAUUGAAGAUGUUUAGUCUUAUUAGAGAUUAUGUUUAAGGAUCGCGAAGUGCUGUCCUUCUGGAGAUGCCUAAGUUUUUUUAGGUCUGUUUCCAGGCAGAACUCAAAUGUGACUUUCUGUCUUAAGACCUUUGAGGUAAUCCUAUUAUGAUGUGUUUUAAAAGGAUAGAGGAGUGCUAUAAAGGGUAAUCCUAGUAUGACAGGGUCAGAUAAGUUCUUAAUUAGAACAAAAGGUGUUUUGAAACAAACUUCAUUUUGGCAAACAUGCGCCUUAGGAAGUUCAUAUUUGAUUUCCAUUGGAGAUUCAUUAGCAGCACUAAGGAUUUCCUUGGACUUGUGGAAAUACCUAGUGGGAAUCAGACCUUCUUGAAUACAAUUCAAGUCUGCUCCGGAAUCAAUCAAUGCAAUUGUUUCGAAACGAAAGUCUUCAAUUAUUAUUGUCACUUUAGAAUACCAUUUUUGGAUUCUAAUUUUGUGAAGAAGAUUCAGAACUAAGUGUUCUGAGUGUGUAUCAUCUUCAGACUCAUGGUGACUACUGGAAGAGGAGGAACUGAAUAGUUCUUCUCUUGGAGGAGUAUUGGCUCUAUUGAGUUGUGUACGAAUUUCGUGAUUAUCAGAUUUUAGAAGUUUAAUUUCUUCUUUUAUCUGAUUAAUUUCUUUUUGAAGGUCACUGACCGUAAUUUCUUUCUUAGUUUUACUAAACUUUGCUAGUGUAGAACUAAGAGAGAUUUGGGGUUUUUGUAUUUGAGGUUGGCUAGUGCCUACUUCUUCUUGGGAGACUAAGUUUUUAAGCUUUUUGAGGUAGAACCUUUUGAGUUCAGUGUCCUCAACAUUGCUUAUUAGUUCUAAGAGUAAUUCUUCUUGUUUUUCUUGUUUAGUUAAUACUGAUAUAUUCUUACAACAAGCAUCAAGACAUCCGAUCUUGAUGUUUGGAGUGGAGUGCUUACUAGAAGCAGAUUGAUAAGAGGAUGACGAGGUAGAACCCAGAUCAUCUUCUGAAGAAUGACUACUGUCAGUAUUUUGGAGUUCUAGGGCUUGGAUAAGUUGAAGCUUUUCUUCCUCAGAAAUCUUCAACUGAUUUAUGGUUUUCUUAACUUUACACUUAUUAGCAUAAUGCCCUUCUUUGCCACAUUUGUAGCAUUUUCCUUUAUGACUAUUGUCUUUAGAAUGGAAUUUUCCAGAGGAUUUUCUCUUUCCUUUCCAUCCUUUCUUUCUGGGGUUUUCAUAAAAUGGGUUUGGUUUGGCAUACUUGCCUUUAUGAUACUUGGAGGAGUUAGUCCGUGGUUUAGAAAUCUUUGAUCUAUGGAAGGCAGUCGAUUUCUUUUUGAGAUUGGAGGGAGCGAUAGGUGGUAAACCAUAUUGCUCACAGAAAGUUCCUAAUUCAUAUUUGGCGAUAGCCUUUUCAGAUUGUGCUUGUUUAGAUAUUUUCAUAUCUAUGCACAUUUUUAAACCUUCUUUUUGGAUAGUACUUAUGAUAUGUCCAUAAGUAAGAUCAUUAUAAGGUAUAAUUCCUUCUUCAUUAAUUAAGGUAUUCCUUAUUUUGUGGGCAAAAAGGUUUGGUAAUCCAUUUAUAAAUUUUUCUUUCCAAAAUGGUUGAUUACUAUCAUCUCUAAGCAUAAUUCUUGACAUAAAAACAUCUUUAUACCAUCUAAAAUCACUUAGGGUUGGGCACCUUAAGUUACGUAGUUGGUCAUGAAUUCUAGAUGUGAUAUUGGAAGGGAUUCCUAUGAAAUGUUGUAUGAUUGUAUAAAGUAAGGUAUUAACUGCAUCUGGGACACCCCGUCCUAGAUGUUCAUCGAAGAUAGGUAUUCCUUCUUCAUCUUGUUUUACCGCGUUUCUUAUGAGAUUUCUGGAGUCAUCAGUGAGAUGUUUUUCCCACCAGGAAUGAAGCAUUCCCGUGAAUCCAGAGACAAGGAUAUCAACAAUUUGGGUUUGACUAAGGUCAUGAUUGGUGAUAUAGCUAUUUGCUACCAUGGAGAUGUGCUGGAGUUUGUUUAAUAACUCUUGUUCUGAUAAACCAUCUAUAUUCCAUUCAUAGAGUUUAUCAGAUGAGACAGUGAAUUGGGAUUGGAAAUUCCUUUCUUCGAAUUGAAGAUCAGGAGGUGUUGGCCUGGGAUACCAGUUUUUGGUUAGGGAUGUAGGAUUAGUCCUUUUGACAUUAAGACGUUUUAAUUCAAGACUCUGAAAGGCUUGUCCAUUUGAUGGAUGGAAUCAAUACUUUCAUCUUCUGAAUCCGGAAUUGAGGAAGGUGUUUCAGAAUCAUGUGGAUUAUUAAUCACACGAACUGAUUUAUCCUUUUCUAGCUUAUUAAGCAUAUGUUCUAUCUUAAUGGAUGUUGAGGUUUUUAAAGAGGGUGACUCUCUAAAACUGGUUAAAGGUAUUUCUCUACUAGGUGGUUUAAUGGACAAGUUGUCCACCUUAGUUUCAAUCUUAUCCAACUGUUUUCCUAUAAUAUGUAGGCUUUGGUUGGUAAAAUUGUUUUGUUCAAUAACAGGUUUGACACCUGCAUCUUCCUUUGGAAGUUUGAACGGUGAGGCUGAGACCUGCGUAUUCGCAGUACUAAUAAGUAUAGUUUCUUGUGGAGGGUGACUGGAGGAGACAAUUGACUUGUCUUCCUUAAGCCAAUUUUCUUUGGUGAUUACCUUUAGUUGGUGUUCAGACUCAUAGUGUUUUUCUACAAAAUCGAAGAAAAAUAUUUCAAGUCUGUUGGUUUGCAUGAAAUCUUUCCAUGCCUUAUGGAUUUCUAAUUUUUCUUCAGUAGUAUAUUUACUUCUGAAGAUAUUUCGUCUAGGGACAUUUUCUAGGGCUUCUAUGUCUCUACAGAGUUUUUUACGAUCAUAUUUAAAAGGUUCUUGUCUGGUUAAAACCAAUAGUUGAUGGUGUACUGGUUCUGCAUCAAAAUCAGAAGCAGUUGGGGAUGUUUGUUCAUCCUUAGGAGGAAUGGAUGGGGUAUGAUAGGUAGGCUGGACUACUUGAGCGUUUGUCUCAAGUGAUUGGAGUUUAAAGUUUAAAAGGUCAUUUAUUAAUUCUUGUUGGGUGACAGAAGAGUUUGUGUCUACUGAUUUUAAUUUCCUAUUAGCUAGGGAAUUGAUUAAUUCUUGGUCUCGACCUUGCCUAUCGUCUGGCAUAGAUCCAGAGAAAGAAUUCCUAUUGGAAGUAAAGGAUUUAAGGGAUCGAUUAGAAUCGCAGGAUUUCCUAGCAGGACGAUCAAAAUUAAUUUUGACCGUACCGUCAAAGUACUGUUCUACGUUGUCUAAAUUAACUAGACUAUUUUGGAUGGCUACUGGCCUACUCUCGUUUAUCAGACACCAAUCUGAAGGAAGAUUGAUUUCUGACCACCUAAUGGUUCGAGGUAUUUUUAUAUUGGCAUUCUCUUGAUCAGUCUGGAUCAGGAGAGUAUGAUCUUUCGGACUUUUGGUUAAAGCCUGAAAAUUCAUAUUUGUGCCAGUGACUUUAUAAUAAAUCCUGUAAAUUAAGGCCAAAGGCUGUGUUCCUUCAAGGACUUUGUAUCCUGAAGUUUUGAUAUUUAAAGUAAGUGCUUUUAACAUAUGCGGGUCUGAAAGACUUAUGGUAAGAUCUGGAAAGCAGUCAAAGUGAAUAGGUCCAUUACAGAGGCUGGAUUCAACCAUACCGAGUAUGCUAUCACUAAAGUCAGUGAAUCUAGCAUCUCGAAGGCAUAAGAGGAUAGAGGUAUUAAGACCUCUACGUGUUAAUGGUUUAGCUGCAAUUUGCACUAAACCUAUAUGGAUAUAAUUAUGACCAUCUUUCCUAUGGGAAUUAAUUUGUUCUGGGGUAAACAAUUGACAAGUUUCAUGAUCUUUACUAAGAGCAUAAGCUUGUUCAACCGUUUUAACAUGAUGUUCAGUUUUAAAAGAGGCGAAUGCCCAUUUCUUUCUAUAAAUAUUCUUUGAAGAUAUUUUUGGAAUAUUCCAUUCAGCAAAAUCUAGACUACUGUCUGUUUGAAAUUCAAAUUUUUGUUCUUCAUUGACAAUAUCAGGUAUAGUUCCUAGAUUUGAUCUAGAGCUAGUGCUGGCCAUAGAAUUAGAUCUAAACAAUCUACUCAUACUUAAUAAAUUCAAACAAUCAAAAUACAGAAACCUUAACAGAAAAUCUUACUAGUAACUCUAAACGCCAAGCUCUCUGGGUCAUGCGCGCCGCUCAGGCCCUAUCCUCCGGGACUUACUGUUUGGGUGACGCCUUACUGCUCAGACCUUAUGGAGAUCAGAAAACUACCAAGAAGAUUAAGCUGAAAAGAUCAACUGUAAAGAGACUGAAUAAAUCUAAAAGUAUAAACAGAGUAUAUAUAUAUAUAUAUAUAUAUAUAUACGGAAAACAAAACUGCCCACUCACCUGGAGUUCGCCCUACAACUCCCUAGCACAAUACGCCAAGGCCUCAUGACGAUCGGCGCCUAAAACAAUAAUCAAUUCCAACCUCAGAAUUCAUAGUGAUAGAAUAUAUAACUUAUAUAAAAUACGUCACUACGUAGUUCGAUCCGGAAGAUCCACCACUCAGAUUUUAAAUCCAUAACUUCCAGAGGUCCACAAUAUAUCUCUAGGAUAACAUCCUAAAAUUUCAUUACCAUCCAACGGUCGGAUCUCCGUCAAUUUCCAAAACUAAGUGACGGUUAACAUUUUAUUUUAUGAACUUACAACUCCAAUUUCGGAAGAUCCGUAACUUGGAUUCCCAAUCCGUAAGUUCCAAUAAUCCUCAAAUAUUACGUAUUACAACGUAUCAAAGUUUGGUAACGAUCCAACGGUCGGAUCAUCAAUUCACAUUUUCACCUAAUGCGAAAACUAUAAAACGUUAUUUAAAGCACCUAACCAAUAAUCGUAAUAACUUUCUCAUACGGUGCUCAAUUUGGGUAUAUGAAUAUACCAAAGUGAUCUACUCGACGUCACGAAAGUCGAAAAAAUUUUAAAAUAAUUUUUUACUGUAGCACGCGCCCCCACGCGCACCUUCUUCCUUGCGAGUUCGCAGGACUGGUUUUUCUCCGGUGGCCGGAUUCUGGGCAUUUUUCAAAUGCCUUGUUCUCCUUCGUUUCUCACCCAUUUUCUUCGUAUAAUAUAUCAAAAUGAAGCCCCAAACAUGUAGAAUCGCAAUAUACUACUUUUAAGCUUCAAAAACAACUAAAUCUCACCGGAAAAGUCGAAGCAAAACCGGCCAAACUUGCAGCUCGUGAUCCCGAUGUCCAAUUCCUUCAAACGAAGCACUCCGAGCUUCCUUGGGACCUCACUAAGCUCACUGUGAGCUUGAAAUUCCCUGAAACAUCAAGAUUUACGUGUGCAUGAACAGUGCACUUUCACGGGGAGUUUAGAAUCUAGGUUUUCCGAAGUAAAACUUACCUGAAAUUGGUGUCUACGUGAUCGUGGAGGUUCCAGGAGUUCGAUGGUGGUCUUAACUCCGUCGUUGGUAGAAGUUUAGGGUGGUUUUGGAGUUUGUCCGUGUGAGUUCGAAGGAGAGAGACAGAGAAUGAGAGAUUGGGAGAGAGGAGAGAGAGAGACAGGGUACGGGAAAGAGGGAGAGAAUUGAGGGGUGUGGGAUCCUACCCAAUCCCCAACUACAAAUUCUAACAUAAAAUUUAAGUCUAAGUCUCCACUCUACUUACCAAAUUUUAGGAGCUUAGAUAUAACGAACGUAAAAAUUAUACCUUAGUCACGUAUUAGGGGCAUUUUCGUAAUUUCAUGUCCUCGGAAUUAAAAAUUCCGGGACGGGCUGUGACAAUUUUGAUUGUACGAUAUACGAUGAACGGAUACGAUUACAAGAUCCUUAUUUUCCUAUUAGUAUAGCAUUCAAGAGCAACUACAUUAGAUAGUAAUAAUUACUUCGCUGCUACCAUUGCGUUUUAUAAAAGGUAAAAAGUUGUUGUCCUGCUAUCAUUUUUGAAAGGGGUGUGAUAUUCACACACCCUUUUUUACGUAUCAAACAUCCCUUUAAUUUUUAACCGUUGGAUCGGAUUAAUUGAAGAAGAUCAAGGGACAAAAAACAACAAGAGGUGUGUGAGAAGUAAAAAAAGGUGUGUGGAUAGCACAUCCCUUUUUGAAAAGGUUUUAGAAUCUUGGGCUGUGAUGUCGUAUAUCAGAUGAGUGCAUCAUCAUUUCAAUAAGAGUAAAUUGUAGCAAUGGUCCUUUAAUUUUAACUCAAUUGGAGUAAUGGUCUAUCAACUAAAAACUCAUUACCAUUGGUCCCUUAACUUUAAUCUAACUAGAGAAAUGGUCCCUCAACUUUAACUCAAUUGGAACAAUGGUCCCUCAAACUUUAACCCAAUUGUAGUAAUGGUUCUUCCAACAUAACUCAUUUUGACAAAAUUCUGAUGAAGUUGACGAAAAUUACUAUAGCUACACGUUUUGAUGAGUUGAGGGAUCCCAAUUGUAGUAAUGAUCCUUCCAACAUAACUUAUUUAACAAAAUUCUAACGAAGUUGACGAAAAUGAUCAUAACUACACAUUUUGAUGAGUUGAGGGACCAAUGGUAAUGGAUUUUUAGUUGAUGGACUAUUACUCUAAUUUGAUUAAAAUUGAGGGACCUUUGCUACAAUUUACUCGUUCAAUAAUCCUUUGACAAAGCCAUUGAUCUGUGCAUGUGUUGAAGUUAGUGCAUGUUUUGAUUGUUAUCAUUUUAAUCUACAACUGAGUUUUGCACAGAGAGCAGUAUUUAAGCGUUGCGGCAGUAGUGUGUAGUGUGCGAGAAAGAAAAUGAAUUUUUCAGUCAUGUGGUUUUAAAAGACAAAAUUCAGUUUUUCUUUAUUGAUUUUCAUUGUGCUUUAAUCCGAGAUUGAUUAUGAAAAUGUGUUUUGUGAUUUUCGUAAUUAAUUAAUUGAUUUUCAAAAAUCAUUUCGUCAUGCAUACAUUAUGCAUGAUCACGUUAGUAUCCUACAAAGUUUGAGGACAUGGUGGUUGACGCCUGCGUUAGUGUCGUGCCACUUCCACUCGAAAAGGCUAAAGAGAGAUCGAGUAGCAAAGGCGCGGAGACAAAACUGCCUUCUAGUUGAGUGUCUAGCAAGAUGAGUUUUGUAAGUCCUUUUUAUAUUCAUUUCUCUUAAUGUUUGUUCUGGUUUGGGAGCCCGAUGAUUUUCUUAGUAAUGGAUUUUGUCUCAUUAAAUCCUACAUACCGUGUGCAAUUUUUAUUUAUCUUUUUAACUGCAUAUAUGUAUGAUAAUUUUAUAUGUGAUGUGAAUAUGAAAUUAAUUUGAGAAUUAAAAAUUGAAUUGGAUUUUUAAAUUAGAAUCUAUUCACCCCCUCGGUUAAACUAGUACCCAUCCUAGAACUUUCAAAAACAAACAGAAAGAAGAAAAAAAAUUAUGAAUCUACUAGCUCGAUCGGUUGUAUGAAUCAUACAACCAUAGCUUGAAAAUACAACUACUUAGUGAUUGUAUAUUGAAAAGAAAAGAAAGAACAAGGAAAACUAUUAUGGGUUGUGCCAUAA
Molecule: long non-coding RNA, 11943 nt
Filed under: Malus domestica (apple)
Lineage: Eukaryota; Viridiplantae; Streptophyta; Magnoliopsida; Rosales; Rosaceae
Description: long non-coding RNA (MDOM_LNC007287)
Source: RNAcentral